ACUAAACUUUUAGUUGCUGCUAUCUGUUGGUUGAUAUAAGACGUCGCCAAGUGAACUUGAGCUACCGAGGUUUUUGUUUCUUCGGGUUCACGACAUUUUAUUUGGUGAAAAUGUGAUGUGCGAAAAUUAAUUAUUAGUUUUAAAGUUCGUAUGCAUAUACACAUGUGAUGAAAUAAAAUUUGAAAUAAUAACGGUGUCGUGUGUGAAGUAUGUGUGUCACGAGUAGUCAACUUGUGUGAUGUUUGUAUAAACAUAAGUUUGGAUACAUAUGUAUAUUAUUGAUUAAAUCUACGCAAAUUAAGUCCAAUCAAUAAAACGAAAAAAAUUGUGAGAAAUAUACAAUCUCUGUCGAAUAUACUUACAUUAUAUAUAGUGCUUUAAUGAAAACGUACUGAAUCAUACUUCCUAUAAAUGAGUAUAAAUAAACAUGACCUGCAUAUCAAAAGAAGCAACAAAAACAUAUCAAAAAAUAUUUAUCUAAAUCUAAAUAAAGAAAUGUCGUCAUUACUGCAA
Bactrocera tryoni is the source of this 513-nucleotide long non-coding RNA. RefSeq lists it as uncharacterized. The record is from RefSeq and is a predicted model, not a curated record. Lineage: Eukaryota; Metazoa; Arthropoda; Insecta; Diptera; Tephritidae. The transcript is spliced from 2 exons.